Molecule: ribosomal RNA, 496 nt
Filed under: uncultured Streptococcus sp.
Lineage: Bacteria; Bacillati; Bacillota; Bacilli; Lactobacillales; Streptococcaceae
Description: bacterial SSU rRNA
Rfam family: Bacterial small subunit ribosomal RNA
Source: RNAcentral
GAUGAACGCUGGCGGCGUGCCUAAUACAUGCAAGUAGAACGCUGAAGGAGGAGCUUGCUCUUCUGGAUGAGUUGCGAACGGGUGAGUAACGCGUAGGUAACCUGCCUGGUAGCGGGGGAUAACUAUUGGAAACGAUAGCUAAUACCGCAUAACAGUAGAUAUUGCAUGAUAUCUGCUUGAAAGGGGCAAUUGCUCCACUACCAGAUGGACCUGCGUUGUAUUAGCUAGUUGGCGAGGUAACGGCUCACCAAGGCGACGAUACAUAGCCGACCUGAGAGGGUGAUCGGCCACACUGGGACUGAGACACGGCCCAGACUCCUACGGGAGGCAGCAGUAGGGAAUCUUCGGCAAUGGACGGAAGUCUGACCGAGCAACGCCGCGUGAGUGAAGAAGGUUUUCGGAUCGUAAAGCUCUGUUGUAAGAGAAGAACGAGUGUGAGAGUGGAAAGUUCGCACUGUGACGGUAUCUUACCAGAAAGGGACGGCUAACUACGUGC